ACGUGAGUAACCUGCCCUUGACUCUGGAAUAAGCGUUGGAAACGACGUCUAAUACUGGAUACGAGCUUCAGCCGCAUGGCUAGGAGCUGGAAAGAAUUUCGGUCAAGGAUGGACUCGCGGCCUAUCAGGUAGUUGGUGAGGUAAUGGCUCACCAAGCCUACGACGGGUAGCCGGCCUGAGAGGGUGACCGGCCACACUGGAACUGAGACACGGUCCAGACUCCUACGGGAGGCAGCAGUGGGGAAUAUUGCACAAUGGGCGCAAGCCUGAUGCAGCAACGCCGCGUGAGGGACGACGGCCUUCGGGUUGUAAACCUCUUUUAGUAGGGAAGAAGCGAAAGUGACGGUACCUGCAGAAAAAGCACCGGCUAACUACGUGCCAGCAGCCGCGGUAAUACGUAGGGUGCAAGCGUUAUCCGGAAUUAUUGGGCGUAAAGAGCUCGUAGGCGGUUUGUCGCGUCUGCUGUGAAAACUGGAGGCUCAACCUCCAGCCUGCAGUGGGUACGGGCAGACUAGAGUGCGGUAGGGGAGAUUGGAAUUCCUGGUGUAGCGGUGGAAUGCGCAGAUAUCAGGAGGAACACCAAUGGCGAAGGCAGAUCUCUGGGCCGUAACUGACGCUGAGGAGCGAAAGCAUGGGGAGCGAACAGGAUUAGAUACCCUGGUAGUCCAUGCCGUAAACGUUGGGAACUAGAUGUAGGGGCCAUUCCACGGUUUCUGUGUCGCAGCUAACGCAUUAAGUUCCCCGCCUGGGAUGCAACGCGAAGAACCUUACCAAGACUUGACAUAUACGAGAACGGGCUAGAAAUAGUCAACUCUUUGGACACUCGUAAACAGGUGGUGCAUGGUUGUCGUCAGCUCGUGUCGUGAGAUGUUGGGUUAAGUCCCGCAACGAGCGCAACCCUCGUUCUUUGUUGCCAGCACGUAAUGGUGGGAACUCAAAGGAGACUGCCGGGGUCAACUCGGAGGAAGGUGGGGAUGACGUCAAAUCAUCAUGCCCCUUAUGUCUUGGGCUUCACGCAUGCUACA
RNAcentral lists this ribosomal RNA (1025 nucleotides) under bacterium Antarctica-24. RNAcentral describes it as "bacterial SSU rRNA". It matches the Rfam family "Bacterial small subunit ribosomal RNA", at positions 115 to 1229 of the family's 1533-position model. The record is from RNAcentral.